Molecule: ribosomal RNA, 641 nt
Rfam family: 5.8S ribosomal RNA (bases 218-371)
GGUACUGCGGAGGACAUUAACGAGUUUUGAAAGGGGUUGUAGCUGGCCUUCCGAGGCAUGUGCACGCCCUGCUCAUUCCACUCUACACCUGUGCACUUACUGUGGGUCUCAGGCGAGCGUCGGUCGCUUCGCGGCGUCGUCGUUCAACUGGGCUCACGUUUUACUACAAACUAUUAAAGUAUCAGAAUGUCUACUGCGAAUUAACGCAUUUAAAUACAACUUUCAGCAACGGAUCUCUUGGCUCUCGCAUCGAUGAAGAACGCAGCGAAAUGCGAUAAGUAAUGUGAAUUGCAGAAUUCAGUGAAUCAUCGAAUCUUUGAACGCACCUUGCGCUCCUUGGUAUUCCGAGGAGCAUGCCUGUUUGAGUGUCAUGAAAUUCUCAACCUAACGAGUCUUUGCGGGCUCGGUAGGCUUGGACUUGGAGGUUCUUGUCGGCCUAACGGUCGGCUCCUCUUAAAUGCAUUAGCUCGGUUCCUUGCGGAUCGGCUCACGGUGUGAUAAUUGUCUACGCCGCGACCGCUGAAGCGUUUUGGCCGGCUUCUAAUCGUCUCGUUGGAGACACUACUCUUUAUGACCUUCUGACCUCAAAUCAGGUAGGACUACCCGCUGAACUUAAGCAUAUCAAAAAGCGGGAAGGAAAA